This 164-nucleotide ribosomal RNA is filed under the name Acrapex syscia. RNAcentral describes it as "partial 12S small subunit ribosomal RNA". Lineage: Eukaryota; Metazoa; Arthropoda; Insecta; Lepidoptera; Noctuidae. The record is from RNAcentral.
AAAUUUUAAAAUUAUAAUACUAAAAUAGUAAAUAAUUAUUUAUUAAAACUUAAAUAAUUUGGCGGUAUUUUAGUUUAUUUAGAGGAAUCUGUUUAAUAAUUGAUAUUCCACGAAUAAAUUUACUUAAUUUAUAAUUUUGUAUAUCGUUGUUAUAAAAAUAUUUU